AGUAGUUAGAGCCCGUUAAUGGGUGAUAGCGUGCCUUUUGUAGAAUGAACCGGCGAGUUACGAUUUGUUGCAAGGUUAAGCGGAAAAAGCGGAGCCGUAGCGAAAGCGAGUCUGAAUAGGGCGCAUAAGUAACAGGUCGUAGACCCGAAACCAGGUGAUCUACCCAUGUCCAGGAUGAAGGUAAGGUAAUACUUACUGGAGGUCCGAACCCACGCACGUUGAAAAGUGCGGGGAUGAGGUGUGGGUAGCGGAGAAAUUCCAAUCGAACUUGGAGAUAGCUGGUUCUCUCCGAAAUAGCUUUAGGGCUAGCCUCGAGGUAAAGAGUCAUGGAGGUAGAGCACUGUUUGGACUAGGGGCCCUUCUCGGGUUACCGAAUUCAGAUAAACUCCGAAUGCCAUGUACUUAUACUCGGGAGUCAGACUGCGAGUGAUAAGAUCCGUAGUCGAAAGGGAAACAGCCCAGACCACCAGUUAAGGUCCCCAAAUAUAUGUUAAGUGGAAAAGGAUGUGGGGUUGCUUAGACAACCAGGAUGUUGGCUUAGAAGCAGCCACCAUUGAAAGAGUGCGUAAUAGCUCACUGGUCGAGUGACCCCGCGCCGAAAAUGUACCGGGGCUAAACAUAUUACCGAAACUGUGGAUGAACCUCUUUAGAGGUUCGUGGUAGGAGAGCGUUCUAAGGGCGGUGAAGUCAGACCGGAAGGACUGGUGGAGCGCUUAGAAGUGAGAAUGCCGGUAUGAGUAGCGAAAGAAGGGUGAGAAUCCCUUCCACCGAAUAUCUAAGGUUUCCUGAGGAAGGCUCGUCCGCUCAGGGUUAGUCGGGACCUAAGCCGAGGCCGAUAGGCGUAGGCGAUGGACAACAGGUAGAGAUUCCUGUACCAGUGCUAAUUGUUUAACCGAUGGGGUGACACAGAAGGAUAGGGAAUCGCACGAAUGGAAAUGUGCGUCCAAGCAGUGAGUGUGAGAAGUAGGCAAAUCCGCUUCUCGCGAAGCAUGAGCUGUGAUGGGGAAGGAAAUUAAGUACGGAAGUUCCUGAUUUCACGCUGUCAAGAAAAGCCUCUAGGAAGAGUAGUACUGCCCGUACCGCAAACCGACACAGGUAGAUGAGGAGAGAAUCCUAAGGUGAGCGAGAGAACUCUCGUUAAGGAACUCGGCAAAAUGACCCCGUAACUUCGGGAGAAGGGGUGCUCUAUUAGGGUGCAAGCCCGAGAGAGCCGCAGUGAAUAGGCCCAGGCGACUGUUUAGCAAAAACACAGGUCUCUGCAAAACCGUAAGGUGACGUAUAGGGGCUGACGCCUGCCCGGUGCUGGAAGGUUAAGAGGAGUGCUUAGCUUCGGCGAAGGUACGAAUUGAAGCCCCAGUAAACGGCGGCCGUAACUAUAACGGUCCUAAGGUAGCGAAAUUCCUUGUCGGGUAAGUUCCGACCCGCACGAAAGGCGCAACGAUCUGGGCACUGUCUCAACGAGAGACUCGGUGAAAUUAUAGUACCUGUGAAGAUGCAGGUUACCCGCGACAGGACGGAAAGACCCCGUGGAGCUUUACUGCAACCUGAUAUGGAAUGUUUGUACCGCUUGUACAGGAUAGGUAGGAGCCGAAGAGACGUGUGCGCUAGCAUACGAGGAGGCAAUGGUGGGAUACUACCCUGGCUGUAUGACCAUUCUAACCCGCCACGCUUAGCGCGUGGGGAGACAGUGUCAGGUGGGCAGUUUGACUGGGGCGGUCGCCUCCUAAAGAGUAACGGAGGCGCCCAAAGGUUCCCUCAGAAUGGAUGGAAAUCAUUCGCAGAGUGUAAAGGCACAAGGGAGCUUGACUGCGAGACUGACAAGUCGAGCAGGGACGAAAGUCGGGCUUAGUGAUCCGGUGGUUCCGCAUGGAAGGGCCAUCGCUCAACGGAUAAAAGCUACCCCGGGGAUAACAGGCUUAUCUCCCCCAAGAGUCCACAUCGACGGGGAGGUUUGGCACCUCGAUGUCGGCUCGUCGCAUCCUGGGGCUGUAGUCGGUCCCAAGGGUUGGGCUGUUCGCCCAUUAAAGCGGCACGCGAGCUGGGUUCAGAACGUCGUGAGACAGUUCGGUCCCUAUCCGUCGCGGGCGCAGGAAAUUUGAGAGGAGCUGUCCUUAGUACGAGAGGACCGGGAUGGACACACCGCUGGUGUACCAGUUGUUCCGCCAGGAGCAUCGCUGGGUAGCUAUGUGUGGCAGGGAUAAACGCUGAAAGCAUCUAAGCGUGAAGCCCCCCUCAAGAUGAGAUUUCCCAUUUCUUCGGAAAGUAAGAUCCCUGAAAGAUGAUCAGGUAGAUAGGUUUGGAGUGGAAGUGUAGCGAUACAUGGAGCGGACAAAUACUAAUCGAUCGAGGACUUAACCAA
RNAcentral lists this ribosomal RNA (2359 nucleotides) under Listeria monocytogenes. Its description in RNAcentral is "partial 23S ribosomal RNA". It matches the Rfam family "Bacterial large subunit ribosomal RNA", at positions 569 to 2925 of the family's 2925-position model. Lineage: Bacteria; Bacillati; Bacillota; Bacilli; Caryophanales; Listeriaceae. The record is from RNAcentral.